This is a non-coding RNA of Schistosoma curassoni, 45 nucleotides long. The record is from Rfam. NCBI's taxonomy places the organism in Eukaryota, Metazoa, Platyhelminthes, Trematoda, Strigeidida, Schistosomatidae.
AUCUAGCUGAUGAGUUCCAAAUAGGAUGAAACCAACUUCCUGGAU